AAAACUCUAAGCGGUGGAUCACUCGGCUCAUGGGUCGAUGAAGAACGCAGCAAACUGUGCGUCAUCGUGUGAACUGCAGGACACAUGAACAUCGACAUUUUGAACGCAUAUCGCAGUCCAUGCUGUUAUGUACUUUAAUUAAUUUUAUAGUGCUGCUUGGACUACAUAUGGUUGAGGGUUGUAAGACUAUGCUAAUUAAGUUGCUUAUAAAUUUUUAUAAGCAUAUGGUAUAUUAUUGGAUAAAUAUAAUAAUUUUUAUUCAUAAUAUUAAAAAAUAAAUGAAAAACAUUAUCUCACAUUUGAAUGUGAAAAACGAAGAGAAAUAUUUUCUUUUUCAAUCAAAUAAUACUGAGAAAUGUCUAGCAUAAAAAAUUGAAAUAUUUUUCAUCUAGAAUUGUCUCUUAUUAAUGAUUCGGAAAUAGAAAAAUCUUGGUUAUGUUAUUAUUCUUCGUUGGUUCGUUAAAAAUGGAUAAAUAAAAACUUUGCAUACAAGAAUUAAUAAAAAUGUUAUAACGAAUUUAAUUAAAUGUUUUAUCAUUAUAUAUAAAGAAUUUAUGGCAAGAUAAAGUUAUAUACAACCUCAACUCAUAUGGGACUACCCCCUGAAUUUAAGCAUAUUAAUUAGGGGAGGAAAAGAAACUAACAAGGAUUUUCUUAGUAGCGGCGAGCGAAAAGAAAACAGUUCAGCACUAAGUCACUUUGUCUAUAUGGCAAAUGUGAGAUGCAGUGUAUGGAGCGUCAAUAUUCUAGUAUGAGAAAUUAACGAUUUAAGUCCUUCUUAAAUGAGGCCAUUUACCCAUAGAGGGUGCCAGGCCCGUAUAACGUUAAUGAUUACUAGAUGAUGUUUCCAAAGAGUCGUGUUGCUUGAUAGUGCAGCACUAAGUGGGUGGUAAACUCCAUCUAAAACUAAAUAUAACCAUGAGACCGAUAGUAAACAAGUACCGUGAGGGAAAGUUGAAAAGAACUCUGAAUAGAGAGUUAAACAGUACGUGAAACUGCUUAGAGGUUAAGCCCGAUGAACCUGAAUAUCCGUUAUGGAAAAUUCAUCAUUAAAAUUGUAAUAUUUAAAUAAUAUUAUGAGAAUAGUGUGCAUUUUUUCCAUAUAAGGACAUUGUAAUCUAUUAGCAUAUACCAAAUUUAUCAUAAAAUAUAACUUAUAGUUUAUUCCAAUUAAAUUGCUUGCAUUUUAACACAGAAUAAAUGUUAUUAAUUUGAUAAAGUGCUGAUAGAUUUAUAUGAUUACAGUGCGUUAAUUUUUCGGAAUUAUAUAAUGGCAUAAUUAUCAUUGAUUUUUGUGUUUAUUAUAUGCACUUGUAUGAUUAACAAUGCGAAAGAUUCAGGAUACCUUCGGGACCCGUCUUGAAACACGGACCAAGGAGUCUAACAUAUGUGCAAGUUAUUGGGAUAUAAACCUAAUAGCGUAAUUAACUUGACUAAUAAUGGGAUUAGUUUUUUAGCUAUUUAUAGCUAAUUAACACAAUCCCGGGGCGUUCUAUAUAGUUAUGUAUAAUGUAUAUUUAUAUUAUUUAUGCCUCUAACUGGAACGUACCUUGAGCAUAUAUGCUGUGACCCGAAAGAUGGUGAACUAUACUUGAUCAGGUUGAAGUCAGGGGAAACCCUGAUGGAAGACCGAAACAGUUCUGACGUGCAAAUCGAUUGUCAGAAUUGAGUAUAGGGGCGAAAGACCAAUCGAACCAUCUAGUAGCUGGUUCCUUCCGAAGUUUCCCUCAGGAUAGCUGGUGCAUUUUAAUAUUAUAUAAAAUAAUCUUAUCUGGUAAAGCGAAUGAUUAGAGGCCUUAGGGUCGAAACGAUCUUAACCUAUUCUCAAACUUUAAAUGGGUAAGAACCUUAACUUUCUUGAUAUGAAGUUCAAGGUUAUGAUAUAAUGUGCCCAGUGGGCCACUUUUGGUAAGCAGAACUGGCGCUGUGGGAUGAACCAAACGUAAUGUUACGGUGCCCAAAUUAACAACUCAUGCAGAUACCAUGAAAGGCGUUGGUUGCUUAAAACAGCAGGACGGUGAUCAUGGAAGUCGAAAUCCGCUAAGGAGUGUGUAACAACUCACCUGCCGAAGCAACUAGCCCUUAAAAUGGAUGGCGCUUAAGUUGUAUACCUAUACAUUACCGCUAAAGUAGAUGAUUUAUAUUACUUGUGAUAUAAAUUUUGAAACUUUAGUGAGUAGGAAGGUACAAUGGUAUGCGUAGAAGUGUUUGGCGUAAGCCUGCAUGGAGCUGCCAUUGGUACAGAUCUUGGUGGUAGUAGCAAAUAAUCGAAUGAGACCUUGGAGGACUGAAGUGGAGAAGGGUUUCGUGUGAACAGUGGUUGAUCACGAGUUAGUCGGUCCUAAGUUCAAGGCGAAAGCCGAAAAUUUUCAAGUAAAACAAAAAUGCCUAACUAUAUAAACAAAGCGAAUUAUAAUACACUUGAAUAAUUUUGAACGAAAGGGAAUACGGUUCCAAUUCCGUAACCUGUUGAGUAUCCGUUUGUUAUUAAAUAUGGGCCUCGUGCUCAUCCUGGCAACAGGAACGACCAUAAAGAAGCCGUCGAGAGAUAUCGGAAGAGUUUUCUUUUCUGUUUUAUAGCCGUACUACCAUGGAAGUCUUUCGCAGAGAGAUAUGGUAGAUGGGCUAGAAGAGCAUGACAUAUACUGUUGUGUCGAUAUUUUCUCCUCGGACCUUGAAAAUUUAUGGUGGGGACACGCAAACUUCUCAACAGGCCGUACCAAUAUCCGCAGCUGGUCUCCAAGGUGAAGAGUCUCUAGUCGAUAGAAUAAUGUAGGUAAGGGAAGUCGGCAAAUUAGAUCCGUAACUUCGGGAUAAGGAUUGGCUCUGAAGAUUGAGAUAGUCGGGCUUGAUUGGGAAACAAUAACAUGGUUUAUGUGCUCGUUCUGGGUAAAUAGAGUUUCUAGCAUUUAUGUUAGUUACUUGUUCCCCGGAUAGUUUAGUUACGUAGCCAAUUGUGGAACUUUCUUGCUAAAAUUUUUAAGAAUACUAUUUGGGUUAAACCAAUUAGUUCUUAUUAAUUAUAACGAUUAUCAAUUAACAAUCAAUUCAGAACUGGCACGGACUUGGGGAAUCCGACUGUCUAAUUAAAACAAAGCAUUGUGAUGGCCCUAGCGGGUGUUGACACAAUGUGAUUUCUGCCCAGUGCUCUGAAUGUCAAAGUGAAGAAAUUCAAGUAAGCGCGGGUCAACGGCGGGAGUAACUAUGACUCUCUUAAGGAAUUCCAUCACUAAGAUGGGUAGCUCCAAUGUUAAGGCUAAGACGCUUGAGUAACAUUAAAUGGCCUCACCUCACGCAAAACGAGGUAGCCAGCUCUUUCCUCGAAGCCGAAAAACAACGGGCCCGAGAUAGAUUAUUAGCUGAACAAAAUGAACUGUUAUCGCGUCCGGCAAUAGAAAAAUAUUGGGCGAACAAGUUGUACCUCUCAGUUGAUGGUAGCGGACUCCGUGAAGCGGGCCAUUAUGGCCCGCAACACGGGUGGGUUAGUCAACCCACGCGUUUAUUAACAGGAAAGGAAUAUAUAGACGGUAUUCGUCUGCGGAUAAAUGCCCUACCCACAAAGUCUCGUACUACAAGGGGAAGGCACGAAUUGGAACGACAGUGUCGUGCAGGAUGUGAUGCUCCCGAAACAACAAACCACAUAAUGCAAAAAUGCUACCGCUCGCAUGGGAGGCGGGUAGCUAGACACAACUGCGUAGUAAAUCGAAUCAAGCGGGGACUUGAGGAGAGAGGCUGCGUGGUCAUUGUUGAACCAAGUCUGCAGUGCGAAUCCGGCCUUAAUAAACCAGACCUGGUGGCACUACGACAAAAUCACAUUGAUGUGAUCGACAUACAAAUUGUGACAGACGGACACUCUAUGGAUGAUGCGCACCAGCGCAAAAUCAAUAGAUACGACA
RNAcentral lists this ribosomal RNA (3896 nucleotides) under Drosophila melanogaster (fruit fly). RNAcentral describes it as "eukaryotic LSU rRNA". The stretch from base 576 to 3896 matches the Rfam family "Eukaryotic large subunit ribosomal RNA". Lineage: Eukaryota; Metazoa; Arthropoda; Insecta; Diptera; Drosophilidae. The record is from RNAcentral.